RNAcentral lists this ribosomal RNA (829 nucleotides) under Salmonella enterica. RNAcentral's name for it is "partial 23S ribosomal RNA". It matches the Rfam family "Bacterial large subunit ribosomal RNA", at positions 673 to 1503 of the family's 2925-position model. Lineage: Bacteria; Pseudomonadati; Pseudomonadota; Gammaproteobacteria; Enterobacterales; Enterobacteriaceae. The record is from RNAcentral.
GAAACCGAGUCUUAACCGGGCGUUAAGUUGCAGGGUAUAGACCCGAAACCCGGUGAUCUAGCCAUGGGCAGGUUGAAGGUUGGGUAACACUAACUGGAGGACCGAACCGACUAAUGUUGAAAAAUUAGCGGAUGACCUGUGGCUGGGGGUGAAAGGCCAAUCAAACCGGGAGAUAGCUGGUUCUCCCCGAAAGCUAUUUAGGUAGCGCCUCGUGAAUUCAUCUCCGGGGGUAGAGCACUGUUUCGGCUAGGGGGCCAUCCCGGCUUACCAACCCGAUGCAAACUGCGAAUACCGGAGAAUGUUAUCACGGGAGACACACGGCGGGUGCUAACGUCCGUCGUGAAGAGGGAAACAACCCAGACCGCCAGCUAAGGUCCCAAAGUCAUGGUUAAGUGGGAAACGAUGUGGGAAGGCCCAGACAGCCAGGAUGUUGGCUUAGAAGCAGCCAUCAUUUAAAGAAAGCGUAAUAGCUCACUGGUCGAGUCGGCCUGCGCGGAAGAUGUAACGGGGCUAAACCAUGCACCGAAGCUGCGGCAGCGACACUCAGGUGUUGUUGGGUAGGGGAGCGUUCUGUAAGCCUGCGAAGGUGGCCUGUGAGGGUUGCUGGAGGUAUCAGAAGUGCGAAUGCUGACAUAAGUAACGAUAAAGCGGGUGAAAAGCCCGCUCGCCGGAAGACCAAGGGUUCCUGUCCAACGUUAAUCGGGGCAGGGUGAGUCGACCCCUAAGGCGAGGCCGAAAGGCGUAGUCGAUGGGAAACGGGUUAAUAUUCCCGUACUUGGUGUUACUGCGAAGGGGGGACGGAGAAGGCUAUGUUGGCCGGGCGACGGUU